UAGGGAAUAUUGGACAAUGGGGGCAACCCUGAUCCAGCCAUGCCGCGUGAGUGAAGAAGGCCCUCGGGUUGUAAAGCUCUUUUGUCCGGAAGGAAAAGCAUUCGGUGAAUACCCGGAUGUUCUGACGGUACCGGAAGAAUAAGCACCGGCUAACUUCGUGCCAGCAGCCGCGGUAAUACGAAGGGUGCAAGCGUUACUCGGAAUUACUGGGCGUAAAGCGUGCGUAGGUGGUUGUUUAAGUCUGAUGUGAAAGCCCUGGGCUCAACCUGGGAAUGGCAUUGGAAACUGGGCAGCUAGAGUGCGGUAGAGGGUAGUGGAAUUCCCGGUGUAGCAGUGAAAUGCGUAGAGAUCGGGAGGAACAUCUGUGGCGAAGGCGACUGCCUGGACCAGCACUGACACUGAGGCACGAAAGCGUGGGGAGCAAACA
This 427-nucleotide ribosomal RNA is filed under the name uncultured bacterium. RNAcentral describes it as "bacterial SSU rRNA". It matches the Rfam family "Bacterial small subunit ribosomal RNA", at positions 355 to 774 of the family's 1533-position model. The record is from RNAcentral.